GCCCCUUUGUUUUCCUCUCGCUCUUUUCCGAACCCUAUUCUCUUGCUGUUCCCAUUCCGAUCCCAGCCUCCUCUGAUCCUCCACUCCCAGCUUUUGGCUGGCGAUCGGAAGGCUAUUGAGUCCUGCGAUUGGAGUAGGCUGAGGCAGAUCGACGCGAUUCUGAGCCGCAUAACCCUUUCGAUCCAAAAGCAAGCCUUGUGAACAAACUUUCCUACGGAAUGAGAUGUCCCAACUUAGCUAGAAGAAUUGAGGAUGAGUUUAACAUGAUUAUACUUAUCCAUGGAACUAUGGGAAGAAAGAAGAGGAAAAAAGUAUUAUACUCGUUUUGCAUGCAAGUUGGCAUGGGAGGAAUUGGAAAAAUAUUAUUCGCAUAUAUUUUGACGUGCUGGACGUAGAUGGAGAUCACAGGAUCGAACAGAUUCAUCACCUGUUAGUGUACUUGUGCCACCCUCUAAUCAGGCAGGACCAUCACAUGUACCUUCUCCACCGUUUCAUAUUCGCCGCCAAUAGUACCAUCGCCAGUGCAGUUCCCAGUACCUACAGAUCUUCUUGACUCUGCAAGAAACUCAUUUGCUGAGUUUAGGAAUGAUAGAGCUUUUUUAGUUCCUAUCAAAAAUUCAUUUGAAAAUCUUGUACAAGUUAUUCACGAAAUUAAUAGAAUCAUGAAUAACCGUUGGGGAGGAGAAUCGAUGACAUAUUCAAACACUUCAUUGGUCACAAAACAACUAUGGUGGAGCGAGUUCAAGCGUCUAAAUAAUUGGGACCCGAAUGAUGAAAUGGAGAUCCGCAGAAUAUUUAAAAAGAAAUGUGACGAUCACAUCCGACAUGUAUUAAGUCUCACCAAGAAUCGGGGAAAAAAAGUCAAACUUCAUCAUCGAAGAAAAUUGGGAGAGGAUCUCUAACUUUUGGGCAACGCAGGAGAGUAAGCAAAGGAGUAAUUUGAAUAGAAUGGAUCAAUCUCACAAUUCUGGUGACUCAUCUGCUAUAUAUGCGGAAGGCUCCAUUAACAUAGAUGAGCAUAGACAGAAAUUAGUAAUUUUUUAACUCUUUCAAUAAUUUUUUAUCUAUAUCAAAUUAUUUCAUUAUUUGUAAUCAUGUUUUUUCUGACCAAGGAGAUGGGGAAGGAGCCCUCUUUCGUUGAUACUUUUAUCCGCACUUUUAGAAAAGAUAAGACUUGGAGUGAGACGAGAGCAAAAUCAGUAAAAGUUGGAAUUAUUAUUUAUUUGAUCUUAAUAUAUGAUUUAGAUUUAUUAGUUAUGUAUUUUCGUUGUCUUAAUAUUAUAUGUGUUUCUAUUAUAUUUAAUCAAUAUCUUAUGUGUUUUAAGAAAUAGGAAAAAUAUGAUGAACUCGAGCUAGCCCAAAUAUGCUCACAAGCUGGUGUCGAUAGUCAAGAGUCUGAGGACUCUGUUGGCAAUAAUUUGAGUUUAUGGUUUGAGGCCAAUGGAGGAUUAAAAGGGGGAAGGAUAUUGGAGAUGAGUUUCUUGAGUAGAAUCCAAAGAAUAGUUGCAACAUCUUCCUCCUCAUCAGCACUUACGAUCUAAGUAUAUAACUUAACUGAAGAGGUUAGCAAUCUGAAGGAAAUAUUAUUGUAAAGAGACCUAAAAAGGACGCAAAGAGACCUAGAAAGUGCGCAAAUGGAGUAAGAUAUGAGAGAGUUGCGUUGGCAACAGGAUUUUAUCAUGUGCCACCUUCAGUUGAGUUCCGCUCUAAGUCAGAUUCCUCCACAUGACGAUGAUGAUGGUGGCGACGAUGAUAACGAUGGUGGUGAUGAUUGUUCAUGAUUUUAAUUAUGCAUGAUCAUUAUUUGUCUCAUAAUUAGUGUUUUAAACAUUAAUCCAUGGCUUGUUAACUUUUUUAAUUUUUAUUUUAAUUAAUAUUGUUAAUUUGU
Zingiber officinale is the source of this 1888-nucleotide long non-coding RNA. RefSeq lists it as uncharacterized. NCBI's taxonomy places the organism in Eukaryota, Viridiplantae, Streptophyta, Magnoliopsida, Zingiberales, Zingiberaceae. The record is from RefSeq and is a predicted model, not a curated record. The transcript has 5 exons.